This 497-nucleotide ribosomal RNA is filed under the name uncultured bacterium. Its description in RNAcentral is "partial 16S ribosomal RNA". It matches the Rfam family "Bacterial small subunit ribosomal RNA", at positions 28 to 507 of the family's 1533-position model. The record is from RNAcentral.
GAUGAACGCUGGCGGCGUGCCUAAUACAUGCAAGUCGAGCGAACAGAUGAGGAGCUUGCUCCUCUGACGUUAGCGGCGGACGGGUGAGUAACACGUGGAUAACCUACCUAUAAGACUGGGAUAACUUCGGGAAACCGGAGCUAAUACCGGAUAAUAUAUUGAACCGCAUGGUUCAAUAGUGAAAGACGGUUUUACUGUCACUUAUAGAUGGAUCCGCGCCGCAUUAGCUAGUUGGUAAGGUAACGGCUUACCAAGGCAACGAUGCGUAGCCGACCUGAGAGGGUGAUCGGCCACACUGGAACUGAGACACGGUCCAGACUCCUACGGGAGGCAGCAGUAGGGAAUCUUCCGCAAUGGGCGAAAGCCUGACGGAGCAACGCCGCGUGAGUGAUGAAGGUCUUCGGAUCGUAAAACUCUGUUAUUAGGGAAGAACAAAUGUGUAAGUAACUAUGCACGUCUUGACGGUACCUAAUCAGAAAGCCACGGCUAACUACGUG